CCACCUCCUUGAGAGGGUAAGGCUCCCAGUAGACGACUGGGUUGAUAGGCCGGAUAUGGAAGCCCUGUGAGGGGUGGAGUUGACCGGUACUAAUAGGCCGAGGGCUUGUCCU
RNAcentral lists this ribosomal RNA (112 nucleotides) under Kitasatospora sp. SolWspMP-SS2h. RNAcentral's name for it is "partial 23S ribosomal RNA". It matches the Rfam family "Bacterial large subunit ribosomal RNA", at positions 2814 to 2925 of the family's 2925-position model. The record is from RNAcentral. Lineage: Bacteria; Bacillati; Actinomycetota; Actinomycetes; Kitasatosporales; Streptomycetaceae.